Molecule: ribosomal RNA, 500 nt
Filed under: uncultured bacterium
Lineage: Bacteria
Description: bacterial SSU rRNA
Rfam family: Bacterial small subunit ribosomal RNA
Source: RNAcentral
AACGAACGCUGGCGGCGUGCUUAACACAUGCAAGUCGAACGCGAAAGGGACCUCGGUCCUGAGUAGAGUGGCGCACGGGUGAGUAACGCGUAAGUUAUCUACCCCUCCAUCUGGAAUAACUCACCGAAAGGUGUGCUAAUACCGGAUACGUUGGAAACAAGAAAGGUGGCCUCUUCUAUGCUACCGUGGAGGGAUGAGCUUGCGUACCAUUAGCUAGUUGGUAGGGUAAUGGCCUACCAAGGCAACGAUGGUUAGCGGGUCUGAGAGGAUGAUCCGCCACACUGGAACUGGAACACGGACCAGACUCCUACGGGAGGCAGCAGUGAGGAAUAUUGCGCAAUGGGGGAAACCCUGACGCAGCGACGCCGCGUGGAUGAUGAAGGCCUUUGGGUCGUAAAAUCCUGUCAGAUGGAAAGAAAUGUACAUGUGCUAAUAUCACUUGUAUUUGACGGUACCAUCAAAGGAAGCACCGGCUAACUCCGUGCCAGCAGCCGCGGUAA